GGUCUUUUCUUGCACAGGCUGCAGUCAGGGUAUGGGAGCUUGCUCCCUGAGAUUAGCGGCGGACGGGUGAGUAACACGUGGGCAACCUGCCUAUAAGACUGGGAUAACUUCGGGAAACCGGAGCUAAUACCGGAUACGUUCUUUUCUCGCAUGAGAGAAGAUGGAAAGACGGUUUACGCUGUCACUUAUAGAUGGGCCCGCGGCGCAUUAGCUAGUUGGUGAGGUAAUGGCUCACCAAGGCGACGAUGCGUAGCCGACCUGAGAGGGUGAUCGGCCACACUGGGACUGAGACACGGCCCAGACUCCUACGGGAGGCAGCAGUAGGGAAUCUUCCGCAAUGGACGAAAGUCUGACGGAGCAACGCCGCGUGAACGAAGAAGGCCUUCGGGUCGUAAAGUUCUGUUGUUAGGGAAGAACAAGUACCAGAGUAACUGCUGGUACCUUGACGGUACCUAACCAGAAAGCCACGGCUAACUACGUGCCAGCAGCCGCGGUAAUACGUAGGUGGCAAGCGUUGUCCGGAAUUAUUGGGCGUAAAGCGCGCGCAGGUGGUUCCUUAAGUCUGAUGUGAAAGCCCACGGCUCAACCGUGGAGGGUCAUUGGAAACUGGGGAACUUGAGUGCAGAAGAGGAAAGUGGAAUUCCAAGUGUAGCGGUGAAAUGCGUAGAGAUUUGGAGGAACACCAGUGGCGAAGGCGACUUUCUGGUCUGUAACUGACACUGAGGCGCGAAAGCGUGGGGAGCAAACAGGAUUAGAUACCCUGGUAGUCCACGCCGUAAACGAUGAGUGCUAAGUGUUAGAGGGUUUCCGCCCUUUAGUGCUGCAGCUAACGCAUUAAGCACUCCGCCUGGGGAGUACGGCCGCAAGGCUGAAACUCAAAGGAAUUGACGGGGGGCCCGCACAAGCGGUGGAGCAUGUGGGUUUAAUUCGAAGCACGCGAAGAAACCUUACCAGGUCUUGACAUCCUCUGACACCCUUAGAGAUAGGGCCUUCCCCUUUCGGGGGGAACAGAGUGACCAGGUGGUGCAUGAUGUCGUCAGCUCGUGUCGUGAGAUGUUUGGUUAGUCCCGCACCGAGCGCACCUGAUCUUAGUGCCAGCAUUCAGUUGGGGAACUCUAGGGUGACUGCCGGUGGACCA
RNAcentral lists this ribosomal RNA (1138 nucleotides) under Bacillus sp. (in: firmicutes). Its description in RNAcentral is "bacterial SSU rRNA". It matches the Rfam family "Bacterial small subunit ribosomal RNA", at positions 46 to 1162 of the family's 1533-position model. Lineage: Bacteria; Bacillati; Bacillota; Bacilli; Caryophanales; Bacillaceae. The record is from RNAcentral.